This is a long non-coding RNA of Bos indicus x Bos taurus (hybrid cattle), 2180 nucleotides long. Lineage: Eukaryota; Metazoa; Chordata; Mammalia; Artiodactyla; Bovidae. The record is from Ensembl.
AGAUAGAUUAGGUUUAGUGUUAGAAUUUAGAUUAAACAAGCAGAGUCUGAUUUUCAAAACCAAAAACCAAAACCAACAUAGCACCCUAGAACUCUGGGAGCAAACACCCUGGAGCCAGGCUGAGCACACAGGGCAGCCACGUGGGGGUCUCCACCACCCAAGGAACCCUGGCUCCUCAGGAGGGGCCACAAAACAGGCCCUCAAUAAGUAUUUAUAGAACAAAUGAGUGAAUGAAUUUCGCUUGAAUUAAACAUGACUCGUCCACGCCUGGCAUAAUUCCUUUUCAUUCCAGUGAACGGAAGCCCGGCUGAGAGCAGGGAAGUUCCCUGAGCUGCCCAGCUGCCUAGGGGCUUUUCCGGCCUGGGCCAAGGCAGGAGGAAGCCCCAACUAACUCAUAGUCACUCCUCAGAAUACUUUUAUUAAAGGGGAAAAAAUCACCAAUGAUGAUAUCCAGUGACAAGCUUCUGCCACCCACACAUUCCACGUUCCACCUGGCCAUGAGCUGGUUUCAGUCUCAGGGCACAAGCAACACAAGUCAGAAUUUUUUUUUUUUUCUUUUAAUCUUUGGGGAAGAAACAGAAAAGGAGGAGAAAGCAGAGUAACAAGUGCAGAUUAAAUAUGAGGCAGGUCCAGGCUUUUGAUACCACUGUGUUUAACUCACCAAAUAAUCAGAGCAUUAAAUGCAGGCAUAAUUUGUCAGCAAGCUCCCUCCAUUGUUCCCUGAAGCAUGCGGGGUUGGGGGGGGGGUGUGGGCUAAUUCAAUUCACGUGGGAAUCGGUGUUUACAUCCACGAGUCCUAAUGGAAGGGCACACCAUUUUCAAACUGGAACAAAUAAAUCAUAAUGCCCUUUGCCACUAAAACCGGGGACCUUGCGAUGCCUCUCUCUUGGUGGACGAGCUACAUUUGGAAGGACGUUUUCUUCAGUGUGGAAAUCUCCACUUGCUGGCUACUGCAGCAAGUCCCAGAAGAAAGCCAGGUGCAUGGCAGUCCAUCUCUCCGGCGGAACCCUGUUUCAUGGCCUGCGGGUGCUGCGGGGCGGUGGACACUCGCUUGUAGCAUCCGGAUGGAAGCGGAACCACCUCCGUCCGCGUGGCCGCGGCCUCCCAAGAAACCGGAGCAGAAACAAGCACAAAGCCGCCACUGUCGUGAACAAGCCAGGGCCUCCUGGGGGCUGGAGGACCUUCCAGAUGGGAACAAAAGGCGUUGGCUCUUGAUUAAGGAAAGUCACUGGAUGGAUACUUGUCAUCUCCAGGACACUCAUCUGACUGCAGCCUCCUUGUGGAAGGGAUGGUGUGUCCUGAAUUAGCAGGAAAUACCAAGAGUUUCCAAGGGGACAGGAGCAGAGGCCCCUCGGAUCUUUGAGGUUGUCAUCUUCCUUUGCAAGUUUAGUCCUAAACCCGCUGACAACAAUCCAGUCUUCAGGAUGGAGGGCUGUCGGGAGCCCAGGGUAUCCUUGGUCAGACCGUGAGGCAUGUGAUACGGAGCCACGGAGGGCGGCAGAGUCCUUCUCAGAGAUCCGUCCACGCCACCAGCCCCAGGUCGACCGGAGGGUGUGUGGAAGCAGGAAAUUCAGGGGCUACAGUGAAACCCCGACUCUAGCUUCUCUGUUGCCAGUGAGUGACAGCUGGAUGUCAGGGGACUCACAAAUGUGGACUCAUACAAGGUUGGCAAAAGCGACAGGCUCAGAGGAACUGGCCCCAACUCAAACUAGGGUGCCCCCCCACUCUUGGCUCCCCCAAACCCGCAAGCCCUCACUUACCCGGCAGAAGCCUACUGCUCCCCUCCAAAAGCAGAGACAGCCGUGGAUUUUAAGACCUGAGAUGAUGCAUCACUGUGGCUGUAACACUGGACUGAAUCUUGUUCUGUGUUCUAUGUAUCAUAUUCUCUGAGAUAAAAAGGCAUUUCAGAGCAAAACAAAACACCAAACACAAGUUAAGAGCCACUGGAGUUACAUACGCAGGGAAGAGCAAAGGCCUCCAAGAAGGUGUGGUCAAAUGAACAGGAAGCUUUCCAAAGAACAGGGGCAAAUUCAGAAGAACGGGUAAGUUCAGAAGCUGGUGGUCCAGGUGAAUGUGGACCCCAAGGUCCAGUUCUGGGUUUUGCUUUGAGCUGCAAGCGUCAUCACUUUGUUCAAAACCCCCAGAGUUUUAUGUUUAUAAUAAAUGUAUUGCCUUGAUCA